Saccostrea cuccullata (small rock oyster) is the source of this 838-nucleotide long non-coding RNA. RefSeq lists it as uncharacterized. The transcript has 2 exons. The record is from RefSeq and is a predicted model, not a curated record. NCBI's taxonomy places the organism in Eukaryota, Metazoa, Mollusca, Bivalvia, Ostreida, Ostreidae.
GCGAAUAUUUUUGGUGAGAUAUAGCACCGAAUGUGAACGGGUAGCCAUAUAACCUGCCAGGAGGAUUAUUGCAGCGUGUUUGUGCAGUUCUAGCCGGUAAGAGUGUUCGAGUAAUGUAUAUAGUUUGUUUGCUGUUAUAAAUUUCCGGUUUCAGUUGUAUUUUAGGUUAGGUUUUUGUAAAUAUAAAUUACUUUCAGUGCGUAAGGGGCUUGGAGACGAGGUUUUGAUGUAUGGGCCUACUGAGGGUCGUUUGACGAGGUCUGAGGCUUAUUGACGUUUAUGCAUGGAGGGCCACGUGCGUCUUAUCCAAGGUCAACACCGUUAAGGGCGUGGUAGGAUAACCGGAGCGGGAGGCUAAGACCCGGGGCUCUGCGAGUUAGGAACUACUAUUUUGUGGACCACGGAACUUGGUGUGACGUUGACGUUACCUGUAUGGCAAGAGCGCCGUGGUGCAUUUUCUAGGACACGUGUCGCUGACCUGAUUUGUGAACCAGAACUUUGAGUAACUUUCAGUAGUAAAUAACAGAACUCGUUUACAUUUUAAAAGAUAUUAUUGUUAUUUGAAGUUAAUUGAGCUUUUUCGAAAUAUUAAUUGAAAAGACUGAAUUAAGUUGGUGAAUUUUACCUGUUUGAUUUAGAAUCUGAUAAUUAUUGACUCAGCAUUGUAGCAUGUAAUAUUCAACUUUAUUAUUAUGUAAAGUAUCAGAAGUGGUUUAAGCUGAGUUAACUGUUCAUAUUUAUUUUCAUUUCCGGUGUGUGAGCUGGUAUGUGAGCGUGAGUGAGAGUAAUUGAAUAUAAUUUUUUUUUUAUUUCUGUUAAUGAACUUAUUUGUUGUUUC